UACGGGGGGGGCAAGCGUUGUUCGGAAUUACUGGGCGUAAAGGGCUCGUAGGCGGCCAACUAAGUCAGACGUGAAAUCCCUCGGCUUAACCGGGGAACUGCGUCUGAUACUGGAUGGCUGGAGUUUGGGAGAGGGAUGCGGAAUUCCAGGUGUAGCGGUGAAAUGCGUAGAUAUCAGGAGGAACACCUAUUGCGAAGGCAGCUCGCUGGGACGUAACUGACGCUGAGACGCGAAAGCGUGGGGAGCAAACAGG
RNAcentral lists this ribosomal RNA (253 nucleotides) under uncultured bacterium. RNAcentral's name for it is "partial 16S ribosomal RNA". It matches the Rfam family "Bacterial small subunit ribosomal RNA", at positions 524 to 776 of the family's 1533-position model. The record is from RNAcentral.